This 564-nucleotide ribosomal RNA is filed under the name uncultured Glomeromycotina. Its description in RNAcentral is "SSU rRNA". It matches the Rfam family "Eukaryotic small subunit ribosomal RNA", at positions 548 to 1114 of the family's 1831-position model. Lineage: Eukaryota; Fungi; Glomeromycota. The record is from RNAcentral.
UUGGAGGGCAAGUCUGGUGCCAGCAGCUGCGGUAAUUCCAGCUCCAAUAGCGUAUAUUAAAGUUGCUGCAGUUAAAAGGCUCGUAGUUGAAUUUCGGGACCAUCAUGUCGGUCGUGCCUCGGUACGUACUGGCAUCGUCGGUUUCUCCCUUCUGACGAACCAUGAUGUCAUUUAUUUGGUGUUGUGGGGAAUCAGGACUGUUACUUUGAAAAAAUUAGAGUGUUUAAAGCAGGCUCACGCUUGAAUACAUUAGCAUGGAAUAAUGAAAUAGGACGUUUGAUUCUAUUUUGUUGGUUUCUAGGAUCGACGUAAUGAUUAAUAGGGAUAGUUGGGGGCAUCAGUAUUCAAUUGUCAGAGGUGAAAUUCUUGGAUUUAUUGAAGACUAACUACUGCGAAAGCAUUUGCCAAGGAUGUUUUCAUUAAUCAAGAACGAAGGUUAGGGGAUCGAAGACGAUCAGAUACCGUCGUAGUCUUAACCAUAAACUAUGCCGACUAGGGAUCGGAUGAUGUUAAUUUUUUAAUGACUCAUUCGGCGCCUUACGGGAAACCAAAGUGUUUGGGUUC